UACAGAGGGUGCGAGCGUUAAUCGGAAUUACUGGGCGUAAAGCGUGCGCAGACGGUCACGUAAGUCGGGUGUGAAAGCCCCGGGCUCAACCUGGGAAUUGCAUUCGAGACUGCGUGGCUAGGGUGCGGAAGAGGGAAGCGGAAUUUCCGGUGUAGCGGUGAAAUGCGUAGAUAUCGGAAGGAACACCAGUGGCGAAAGCGGCUCCUGGUCCAGCACCGACGUUCAGGCACGAAGCGUGGGGAGCAAACAGG
Molecule: ribosomal RNA, 251 nt
Filed under: uncultured bacterium
Lineage: Bacteria
Description: partial 16S ribosomal RNA
Rfam family: Bacterial small subunit ribosomal RNA
Source: RNAcentral